UACUAGGUAGAUGCCAAAGUAACUGUGGUUUUUGCCCUUAAAAAAGAAAAGGACAAAAACCACAAUUACUUUUGCACCAAACUAAUAA
RNAcentral lists this microRNA precursor (88 nucleotides) under Chlorocebus sabaeus (green monkey). RNAcentral describes it as "miRNA (ENSCSAG00000027080.1)". The record is from RNAcentral. Lineage: Eukaryota; Metazoa; Chordata; Mammalia; Primates; Cercopithecidae.